This 202-nucleotide ribosomal RNA is filed under the name uncultured bacterium. RNAcentral describes it as "partial 16S ribosomal RNA". It matches the Rfam family "Bacterial small subunit ribosomal RNA", at positions 573 to 774 of the family's 1533-position model. The record is from RNAcentral.
AGGCGGUUCUCUAAGUCGGAUGUGAAAACUCUGGGCUCAACCCGGAGCCUGCAUCCGAAACUGGAGGGCUAGAGUUCUGGAGGGGGUAGCGGAAUUCCUGGUGUAGCGGUGAAAUGCGUAGAUAUCAGGAGGAACACCGGUGGCGAAGGCGGCUACCUGGACAGAAACUGACGCUGAGGCACGAAAGCUAGGGGAGCAAACA